This 1361-nucleotide ribosomal RNA is filed under the name uncultured bacterium. Its description in RNAcentral is "bacterial SSU rRNA". It matches the Rfam family "Bacterial small subunit ribosomal RNA", at positions 28 to 1381 of the family's 1533-position model. The record is from RNAcentral.
GAUGAACGCUAGCUACAGGCUUAACACAUGCAAGUCGAGGGGCAGCAUGGCCUAUCUUUCGGGAUAGGCUGAUGGCGACCGGCGCACGGGUGAGUGACGCGUAUCCAACCUUCCCUUUACUGGGGUUCAGCCCGUCGAAAGGCGGAUUAAUCCCCCAUGUUCUCCGUCCCGGACAUCUGUGUCGGAGCAAAGAUUUAUCGGUAAAGGAUGGGGAUGCGUCCGAUUAGCUUGUUGGCGGGGUAACGGCCCACCAAGGCAUCGAUCGGUAGGGGUUCUGAGAGGAAGGUCCCCCACACUGGAACUGAGACACGGUCCAGACUCCUACGGGAGGCAGCAGUGAGGAAUAUUGGUCAAUGGCCGCAAGGCUGAACCAGCCAAGUAGCGUGAGGGAAGACUGCCCUAUGGGUUGUAAACCUCUCUUAUGCGGGGAUAAAGGCGUCCACGUGUGGAUGUUUGCAGGUACCGCAUGAAUAAGGACCGGCUAAUUCCGUGCCAGCAGCCGCGGUAAUACGGAAGGUCCGGGCGUUAUCCGGAUUUAUUGGGUUUAAAGGGAGCGUANGCCGGUCUUUAGCGUGCCGUGAAAUUUUGUGGCUCAACCAUGAGAGUGCGGCGCGAACUGGAGACCUUGAGUGCGCGGAAGGCAGGCGGAAUUCGUGGUGUAGCGGUGAAAUGCUUAGAUAUCACGAAGAACCCCGAUUGCGAAGGCAGCCUGCCGCAGCGUUACUGACGCUGAAGCUCGAAAGCGCGGGUAUCGAACAGGAUUAGAUACCCUGGUAGUCCGCGCGGUAAACGAUGGAUGCCCGCCGUCGGCGAUAUACAGUCGGCGGCCAAGCGAAAGCGUUAAGCGUCCCACCUGGGGAGUACGCCGGCAACGGUGAAACUCAAAGGAAUUGACGGGGGCCCGCACAAGCGGAAGAACAUGUGGUUUAAUUCGAUGAUACGCGAGGAACCUUACCCGGGCUUGAAUUGCAGAGGAAAGAUCCAGAGAUGGUGAUGCCCUUCGGGGUCUCUGUGAAGGUGCUGCAUGGUUGUCGUCAGCUCGUGCCGUGAGGUGUCGGCUUAAGUGCCAUAACGAGCGCAACCCCUUUCCCUAGUUGCCAUCGGUUUUGGCCGGGCACUCUGGGGACACUGCCUCCGCAAGGAGUGAGGAAGGUGGGGAUGACGUCAAAUCAGCACGGCCCUUACGUCCGGGGCUACACACGUGUUACAAUGGGUGAUACAGAGGGCCGGCCGCUGGCAACAUCGGUCCAAUCCUUAAAGUCAUCCUCAGUUCGGACUGGGGUCUGCAACCCGACCCCACGAAGCUGGAUUCGCUAGUAAUCGCGCAUCAGCCAUGGCGCGGUGAAUACGUUCCCGGGCCU